AUUGAACGCUGGCGGCAUGCCUUACACAUGCAAGUCGAACGGCAGCACGGGAGCAAUCCUGGUGGCGAGUGGCGAACGGGUGAGUAAUAUAUCGGAACGUGCCCGGUCGUGGGGGAUAAUGUAGCGAAAGCUACGCUAAUACCGCAUACGAUCUACGGAUGAAAGCGGGGGAUCGCAAGACCUCGCGCGAUUGGAGCGGCCGAUAUCAGAUUAGGUAGUUGGUGAGGUAAAGGCUCACCAAGCCGACGAUCUGUAGCUGGUCUGAGAGGACGACCAGCCACACUGGGACUGAGACACGGCCCAGACUCCUACGGGAGGCAGCAGUGGGAACUUUGG
This 336-nucleotide ribosomal RNA is filed under the name uncultured bacterium. Its description in RNAcentral is "bacterial SSU rRNA". It matches the Rfam family "Bacterial small subunit ribosomal RNA", at positions 30 to 367 of the family's 1533-position model. The record is from RNAcentral.